GACGUAGGGCGCGAGCGUUGUCCGGAUUUAUUGGGCGUAAAGAGCUCGUAGGCGGCUUGUUGCGUCGACUGUGAAAACCCGCGGCUUAACUGCGGGCUUGCAGUUGAUACGGGCAGGCUAGAGUUCGGUAGGGGAGACUGGAAUUCCUGGUGUAGCGGUGAAAUGCGUAGAUAUCAGGAGGAACACCGGUGGCGAAGGCGGCUUUCUGGUCUGCUCUUGACGCUGAGGCGCGAAAGCUAGGGUAGCAAACGGG
This 253-nucleotide ribosomal RNA is filed under the name uncultured bacterium. RNAcentral's name for it is "partial 16S ribosomal RNA". It matches the Rfam family "Bacterial small subunit ribosomal RNA", at positions 524 to 776 of the family's 1533-position model. The record is from RNAcentral.